This 446-nucleotide ribosomal RNA is filed under the name uncultured bacterium. Its description in RNAcentral is "partial 16S ribosomal RNA". It matches the Rfam family "Bacterial small subunit ribosomal RNA", at positions 338 to 795 of the family's 1533-position model. The record is from RNAcentral.
CCUACGGGAGGCAGCAGUCGAGAAUCAUUCACAAUGGGGGAAACCCUGAUGGUGCGACGCCGCGUGGGGGAAUGAAGGUCUUCGGAUUGUAAACCCCUGUCAUGUGGGAGCAAAUUAAAAAGAUAGUACCACAAGAGGAAGAGACGGCUAACUCUGUGCCAGCAGCCGCGGUAAUACAGAGGUCUCAAGCGUUGUUCGGAAUCACUGGGGGUAAAGCGUGCGUAGGCUGUUUCGUAAGUCGUGUGUGAAAGGCGCGGGCUCAACCCGCGGACGGCACAUGAUACUGGGAGACUAGAGUAAGGGAGGGGGAACCGGAAUUCUCGGUGUAGCAGUGAAAUGCGUAGAUAUCGAGAGGAACACUCGUGGCGAAGGCGGGUUCCUGGACAUUAACUGACGCUGAGGCACGAAGGCCAGGGGAGCGAAAGGGAUUAGAUACCCUUGUAGUC